UCCUACGGGUGGCAACAGUGGGGAAUCUUGCACAAUGGAGGAAACUCUGAUGCAGCGAUGCCGCGUGAGUGAAGAAGGCCUUUGGGUUGUAAAGCUCUUUUGUAGGGGAAGAUAAUGACUGUACCCUAAGAAUAAGGUCCGGCUAACUUCGUGCCAGCAGCCGCGGUAAUACGAAGGGACCUAGCGUAGUUCGGAAUUACUGGGCGUAAAGCGCGCGUAGGCCGUUGAGUUAGUUAAUUGUGAAAUCCCAAAGCUUAACUUUGGACCUGCAAUUAAAACUGCUCGACUAGAGUUUGAUAGAGGAAAGCGGAAUACAUAGUGUAGAGGUGAAAUUCGUAGAUAUUAUGUAGAACACCAGUUGCGAAGGCGUCUUUCUGGAUCAACACUGACGCUGAGGCGCGAAAGUAUGGGUAGCAAAGAGGAUUAGAUACCCUGUGUAGUCCAUACCAUAAACGAUGAUUGCUAGAUGUGGAAAUUUAUUUCAGAUCGCAGCUA
This 495-nucleotide ribosomal RNA is filed under the name uncultured bacterium. Its description in RNAcentral is "bacterial SSU rRNA". It matches the Rfam family "Bacterial small subunit ribosomal RNA", at positions 337 to 854 of the family's 1533-position model. The record is from RNAcentral.